Long non-coding RNA from Passer montanus (Eurasian tree sparrow), 1372 nucleotides. RefSeq lists it as uncharacterized. The transcript is spliced from 4 exons. NCBI's taxonomy places the organism in Eukaryota, Metazoa, Chordata, Aves, Passeriformes, Passeridae. The record is from RefSeq and is a predicted model, not a curated record.
UGUCACCAAGCACCUAUUUCUCUUCUCUGACAGUACAGUGAGCCUGUGAUGACUCACUCAGAUGUAGGAGUCUACAGCUGGUCUGAUGAAUGCUGCCUGGAGUCUCUUGAAGCACUCAUCAAGGAUGUCACCAGUGCCAGCAACCAGAGCUGACUGAAGACAAGCCAUUCAAAUGAGAAGUUUCUGACACAGGUGGUGAGGAUGAAGGUGAGCCUGCCUGACAGCUGCAUCUCUGUCUCUCCACGUCUGCAGAGAGGGAACAUCUUGCGACAAUUGCACGGGAAACACAUCUUCAACAUAGCUAGGAAGAGGUACCUGAAGCUGUGAUGGAAUGCUUUUGAACUUUUCAACCUGCUGGUUCUCCACUCCCACAUCUCCAUCGACAAGAGCUGGAGGAGCGUGAGAUAAAUGCAAACACAGAAUGAAACCUCAGAGCCCAGAUUUCCUUCUGCCUGUGGAGAAGCAACAAUUAUGCCUCUGAUUAAAAGAAAGUCUGCAGCAGCCAAGCACUGAUCAAGUUUGAGCAGCCUAAUGACUUUGCUAGCACAUAAUGUUUGAUAACAAUCUCCAGCAGACCACUGAUGAUACAGAUCCCUCCUUUUGGAAGGGAGUGAUAAAACCCCCUGUUCUUGCUGAUUAACUUGUACAUACCAGGCCAUGAUCCAACAGUUUCUCAGCCACCUGUGCAAGUGAAAUGGGGCUCUGCUCUUGCAGUAAUUUAGCUCCUAAUAUUUUCAGGCUGAUAAAAAACAGACCACCUCAACUAAUGGCAAUUUUUACAUAAUCCUUUUUAUUUUCAAACCAGCCUGCCCACCUUACAUUGCAUAUAAGCCAUGGCUGCAUUUACAACUGCAUCUCCUCCAGAGUUAAGAUCUAAUGACACACAAGCAAAACCGUGCCUUUAUAUUCCUACAGAUGCAACUUAGAUCUAUAUUUUAAUUAGGAAACAACUGUGUCUUUAUCUAGAGAACAAGUAAGUUCUAAUAGAUCUUAAGUUCAUGUAAACUCUGGGUAAUUUAAAUUGAGUUUGUCUAUGAAAAAUGUUUACAUUUAUUGUAUGAUAGAAGUGGUUGGGAUUCACACCUGCUCAAGCAGCUACCAACACAUGGACAAGAGUUCUCACCUUUCCAAAUAUCAGUAACAAUUCCUGUUUACCUUUGCAUGGUUGUCUGAGCAAAAAGCCAUGAAAAAGUAAUCCCAUAGUGACUGAACUGACUCAUUCAAUCCCUGCACUGUUCAAACAUACACAGAAUAUGUAUACAGCAGUCCACUUGCUGGUUUUUCUUCCUAAGUUUCAAGUUUAUGUUCUGGAAAUGUCUUCACUUUUCAUCAUAUGAAAAAAUCUGGAAAAAAUCGUAAGUAUGGAGAUGAA